Molecule: ribosomal RNA, 264 nt
Filed under: Staphylococcus epidermidis NIHLM031
Lineage: Bacteria; Bacillati; Bacillota; Bacilli; Caryophanales; Staphylococcaceae
Description: partial 16S ribosomal RNA
Rfam family: Bacterial small subunit ribosomal RNA
Source: RNAcentral
UAAAGUUGUUCUCAGUUCGGAUUGUAGUCUGCAACUCGACUAUAUGAAGCUGGAAUCGCUAGUAAUCGUAGAUCAGCAUGCUACGGUGAAUACGUUCCCGGGUCUUGUACACACCGCCCGUCACACCACGAGAGUUUGUAACACCCGAAGCCGGUGGAGUAACCAUUUGGAGCUAGCCGUCGAAGGUGGGACAAAUGAUUGGGGUGAAGUCGUAACAAGGUAGCCGUAUCGGAAGGUGCGGCUGGAUCACCUCCUUUCUAAGGA